AGCCUCAACAACGACACUUGAUGGGGUACUUGGAGGCUACAUCCUGGCCUUAAUUGUGGUUGCGGCUUAAAUUGUUCUGCUCCUGUCCUUAAAGUACAUUAAUUUCGCAGCGAGGACCUUAUUUAUUGUUAGACUGCCCCAGCCAUGGAUAUUUUGCCAACAGCCUUCAGGAGAAAUUAAUCUGUCGGACGCGAAAUUUACGAGGCGUUGGGUGUCCAAAAGUUUCCGUGCAUUUUUCUGCCUUUGAAUAUUAACCUUUUGAAAUGGUACUGCGGCGCAAAAACAUUAACUUCCACUUAUCGUAAAUCAGCUGUUGGUAGGUGACAUUCUUGAAAAAUCAUUCUGGCCCGGACUGGCGUGGCAUGCUGGGGAGCACCAAUAUGGUUGAAUGGCAUAAAUGGGCGAAAAUUCAAAUAUGGCUUGCAGGACUCAGUUCGAUCCGGUUCGUUUCUGCUCUCGACUGUCAUAAAUCACAUAAAUGUGUGACCACAUCAGCAGCAUGCCGCAGAAAAAAAGCCAGAAACCAAAAAUAAUAAAAACACAACGAGUACCGCAGAAUAUGGGUUCAAUUAAGCAGUAAAGUGGAUGAUAUACGAUGGCUUAUAUCUUGGCACGGCGAGCUUGUUAAUUUAUUGAACUGGUAAUGCAAGUGUGUUUGCCUGCGGAAGGGGCUACAAUAAUAAGCCAAAUGAUUGAAAAUCCUACAACUGUCCUCAGGCUAUGAAUCUGCGGCUGCCAGUCAAGGUUGUUUUGCAUUUCGGAAAUAAAUAAACAUGAUCUGGGAUGCUGAUGCUAGAGCAUAAAA
Molecule: small RNA, 805 nt
Filed under: Drosophila ananassae
Lineage: Eukaryota; Metazoa; Arthropoda; Insecta; Diptera; Drosophilidae
Description: GF27477
Source: RNAcentral